This 76-nucleotide transfer RNA is filed under the name Corynebacterium pseudotuberculosis. RNAcentral describes it as "tRNA-Thr". The stretch from base 25 to 76 matches the Rfam family "tRNA", at positions 1 to 50 of the family's 71-position model. Rfam says of the family: Transfer RNA (tRNA) molecules are approximately 80 nucleotides in length. Their secondary structure includes four short double-helical elements and three loops (D, anti-codon, and T loops). Further hydrogen bonds mediate the characteristic L-shaped molecular structure. tRNAs have two regions of fundamental functional importance: the anti-codon, which is responsible for specific mRNA codon recognition, and the 3' end, to which the tRNAs corresponding amino acid is attached (by aminoacyl-tRNA synthetases). tRNAs cope with the degeneracy of the genetic code in two manners: having more than one tRNA (with a specific anti-codon) for a particular amino acid; and 'wobble' base-pairing, i.e. permitting non-standard base-pairing at the 3rd anti-codon position. Lineage: Bacteria; Bacillati; Actinomycetota; Actinomycetes; Mycobacteriales; Corynebacteriaceae. The record is from RNAcentral.
ACGUGACGCUAUUGCGUUAAGCCAGCCGCCUUAGCUCAGUCGGUAGAGCGCUUCACUCGUAAUGAAAAGGUCGCGA